Molecule: ribosomal RNA, 512 nt
Filed under: uncultured bacterium
Lineage: Bacteria
Description: partial 16S ribosomal RNA
Rfam family: Bacterial small subunit ribosomal RNA
Source: RNAcentral
GAUGAACGCUGGCGGCGUGCCUAAUACAUGCAAGUCGAACGAAACUUCUUUAUCACCGAGUGCUUGCACUCACCGAUAAAGAGUUGAGUGGCGAACGGGUGAGUAACACGUGGGCAACCUGCCCAAAAGAGGGGGAUAACACUUGGAAACAGGUGCUAAUACCGCAUAACCAUAGUUACCGCAUGGUAACUAUGUAAAAGGUGGCUAUACUACCGCUUUUGGAUGGGCCCGCGGCGCAUUAGCUAGUUGGUAGGGUAAAGGCUUACCAAGGCAAUGAGGCGUAGCCGAAUUGAGAGGUUGAUCGGCCACAUUGGGACUGAGACACGGCCCAAACUCCUACGGGAGGCAGCAGUAGGGAAUCUUCCACAAUGGGCGAAAGCCUGAUGGAGCAACGCCGCGUGGGUGAAGAAGGUCUUCGGAUCGUAAAACCCUGUUGUUAGAGAAGAAAGUGCGUGAGAGUAACUGUUCACGUUUCGACGGUAUCUAACCAGAAAGCCACUGCUAACUACGUG